GUGAGGUAAUGGCUCACCAAGGCGACGACGGGUAGCCGGCCUGAGAGGGCGACCGGCCACACUGGGACUGAGACACGGCCCAGACUCCUACGGGAGGCAGCAGUGGGGAAUAUUGCACAAUGGGCGAAAGCCUGAUGCAGCGACGCCGCGUGAGGGAUGACGGCCUUCGGGUUGUAAACCUCUUUCAGCAGGGAAGAAGCGAAAGUGACGGUACCUGCAGAAGAAGCGCCGGCUAACUACGCGCCAGCAGCCGCGGUAAUACGUAGGGCGCGAGCGUUGUCCGGAAUUAUUGGGCGUAAAGAGCUCGUAGGCGGCUUGUCACGUCGGUUGUGAAAGCCCGGGGCUUAACCCCGGGUCUGCAGUCGAUACGGGCAGGCUAGAGUUCGGUAGGGGAGAUCGGAAUUCCUGGUGUAGCGGUGAAAUGCGCAGAUAUCAGGAGGAACACCGGUGGCGAAGGCGGAUCUCUGGGCCGAUACUGACGCUGAGGAGCGAAAGCGUGGGGAGCGAACAGGAUUAGAUACCCUGGUAGUCCACGCCGUAAACGGUGGGCACUAGGUGUGGGCGACAUUCCACGUCGUCCGUGCCGCAGCUAACGCAUUAAGUG
This 604-nucleotide ribosomal RNA is filed under the name Streptomyces albogriseolus. RNAcentral's name for it is "bacterial SSU rRNA". It matches the Rfam family "Bacterial small subunit ribosomal RNA", at positions 252 to 866 of the family's 1533-position model. The record is from RNAcentral. Lineage: Bacteria; Bacillati; Actinomycetota; Actinomycetes; Kitasatosporales; Streptomycetaceae.